RNAcentral lists this ribosomal RNA (455 nucleotides) under uncultured Streptococcus sp. Its description in RNAcentral is "bacterial SSU rRNA". It matches the Rfam family "Bacterial small subunit ribosomal RNA", at positions 925 to 1382 of the family's 1533-position model. The record is from RNAcentral. Lineage: Bacteria; Bacillati; Bacillota; Bacilli; Lactobacillales; Streptococcaceae.
ACAAGCGUGGAGCAUGUGGUUUAAUUCGAAGCAACGCGAAGAACCUUUACCAGGUCCUGACAUCCCGAUGCUAUUUCUAGAGAUAGAAAGUUACUUCGGUACAUCGGUGACAGGUGGUGCAUGGUUGUCGUCAGCUCGUGUCGUGAGAUGUUGGGUUAAGUCCCGCAACGAGCGCAACCCCUAUUGUUAGUUGCCAUCAUUCAGUUUGGGCACUCUAGCGAGACUGCCGGUAAUAAACCGGAGGAAGUGGGAUGACGUCAAAUCAUCAUGCCCCUUAUGACCUGGGCUACACACGUGCUACAAUGGUUGGUACAACGAGUUGCGAGUCGGUGACGGCGAGCUAAUCUCUUAAAGCCAAUCUCAGUUCGGAUUGUAGGCUGCAACUCGCCUACAUGAAGUCGGAAUCGCUAGUAAUCGCGGAUCAGCACGCCGCGGUGAAUACGUUCCCGGGCCUU